RNAcentral lists this ribosomal RNA (505 nucleotides) under uncultured bacterium. RNAcentral's name for it is "partial 16S ribosomal RNA". It matches the Rfam family "Bacterial small subunit ribosomal RNA", at positions 28 to 507 of the family's 1533-position model. The record is from RNAcentral.
GACGAACGCUGGCGGCGUGCCUAAUACAUGCAAGUAGAACGCACAGUUUAUACCGUAGCUUGCUACACCAUAGACUGUGAGUUGCGAACGGGUGAGUAACGCGUAGGUAACCUGCCUGGUAGCGGGGGAUAACUAUUGGAAACGAUAGCUAAUACCGCAUAAUAUUGAUUAUUGCAUGAUAAUUGAUUGAAAGAUGCUAUUGCAUCACUACCAGAUGGACCUGCGUUGUAUUAGCUAGUAGGUGAGGUAACGGCUCACCUAGGCGACGAUACAUAGCCGACCUGAGAGGGUGAUCGGCCACACUGGGAAUGAGACACGGCCCAGACUCCUACGGGAGGCAGCAGUAGGGAAUCUUCGGCAAUGGACGAAAGUCUGACCGAGCAACGCCGCGGGAGUGAAGAAGGUUGUCGGAUCGUAAAGCUCUGUUGUAAGAGAAGAACGGGUGUGAGAGUGGAAAGUUCACACUGUGACGGUAGCUUACCAGAAAGGGACGGCUAACUACGUG